This 616-nucleotide unclassified non-coding RNA is filed under the name Amphimedon queenslandica. Its description in RNAcentral is "uncharacterized LOC109581424, transcript variant X1". Lineage: Eukaryota; Metazoa; Porifera; Demospongiae; Haplosclerida; Niphatidae. The record is from RNAcentral.
ACUAGCAUAAACAUUAAGAGAGGGUUGCAGCUACAAUUUUGGGAGCUCUGUCAACAAAAUGAAGCUACUAGUGAUUACAGCUGUGUAGGGCAAGCCCUCAUCAUUGGUUUGUUUGUACUAUGGGUGAGAGCUGCAGUUCAUAAUACAUGGGUUAACGUGUAUUCUGGGUCACUGCCACUGACCGGCUACCCUGAUACGUAUUUAUGUGGACCAAACACAACAUUGAGAUGUAUUUAUAUAAAUGACAAGACAAUUGGCGUUAAAAUUCAAUGGGUUCUGUACACUGAUGACGGUAGAAAUGAGAAAGUUUUAAAAUAUCGAUUAAUAAAUGAUGAUGGAUUGACAGUGUUCAUGGAUUACUUGAUAACAACCAGUGGAAAUUAUUCUUGUGGAUAUGAUAAUAUCCGUUACAAAACUGUUAAUAUAUCCAUCAGUGUGUCAAGUGAGCAUUGGAGUGGCUGCCAGACCACAGAUAUUAGAGACUACGGCCAGACUAAUGACAAGCACUAAAGCAUUUUUGUGAACAUUAGAUCUAAUUAAAUUUUUUGCUGCUAAAAGUCUAAAAAUUCAUUGUUCACUAGUUAUUAGUGAUGGGCGAUAUGGCCAAUUUUCUUAA